This 28-nucleotide small RNA is filed under the name Bombyx mori (domestic silkworm). RNAcentral's name for it is "ovarian small RNA-12260". Lineage: Eukaryota; Metazoa; Arthropoda; Insecta; Lepidoptera; Bombycidae. The record is from RNAcentral.
AGUAUAUACAGUACAACAUCCGAAUUGC